CUUUUUUUGGUAUGUAUAUGAAGUAUAACCUGCCCAAUGAUAUUUAAAUGGCCGCGGUAUAUUGACCGUGCAAAGGUAGCAUAAUCAUUAGUUUCUUAAUUAGAAGCUGGAAUGAAUGGUUGGACGAGAUAAGAACUGUCUUUUUAUUAUUAAAGUAGAAUUUAGGUUUUAUGUUAAAAAACUUAAAUGGUUUUUUGGGACGAGAAGACCCUAUAGAAUUUAAAUAAUUAUUGUUAAUGGUUAGUUAAUUUUAAUUUUGUGAUAAUUAUUUUAUUGGGGUGAUAUGGAGAUAUAAUUAACUCUUUUUGAAAUAUUAAAUAUUGAUAUAUAGGAAGUAUUUGAUCUAUUAUUAUUGAUUAAAAGAUUAAAUUACC
Molecule: ribosomal RNA, 374 nt
Filed under: Perisphaerinae sp. MNHN BL162
Lineage: Eukaryota; Metazoa; Arthropoda; Insecta; Blattodea; Blaberidae
Description: partial 16S ribosomal RNA
Source: RNAcentral